GUGAGGGUUUCUGGCUGGAGAUCUUUGCCUAUGUGAGGUUUUAAAGGUUUUGGCGGUACUGGCUGCUGGCAAAGCUGAGGUCACACACCACGUUUAUAUCCCAAAGGACUGCAGCCCAUGGAGAGAGAGCCUGUGAAGAAGCACAGAAGUAAGGAAUGGAAUAAGCAACCACCAUGUACUGACCUCACCUCUUGUGCUAUUAGGGGUGGAAGACUCCACAGUGAAGCUGAGAUGGGAAAGGGAAUACACGUGCUGCUGACUCUAUUAGUGGCCUUCAGUAUGUCUUCAUCUCAAACAACAUUGGAGAGAAGUUUUACUGCACUACAAAGGCUGAAAGUGCAAUGAUAGUAAUUGCUUCAAGAAUGCUAUUUGCCUUCUGCCAAGAGAAAGGUAGGGAUCAAUCUGCAAGUCUUCUCUCUCAUGUGUAUUAAAAAAAGUGUUUGAGAUUCCACGCAUCAUCACAUUCCAUUAAUAGUCCCAUUAAUCUAACCCACACUACAAGACAUUAAAAACCUAAAAUAAAGAGUGGUGUCUCCCUUUUUCUUUCAAGUUUGACUGUGAAGUGCUCCCAUCUAACAACAGAAGGUAGAAAUUAGUCAGUUUAGAAGCUUUUUUCUCCUUCAGUUGCUUCAGUUCUCCUUCAGUAGUCAAAAGUCCCUGAUGAGAAGGCCAUCCUAAUCAUUGUCCAGUAAUGAACAAAG
This is a long non-coding RNA of Lagopus muta (rock ptarmigan), 701 nucleotides long. RefSeq lists it as uncharacterized. The transcript has 4 exons. NCBI's taxonomy places the organism in Eukaryota, Metazoa, Chordata, Aves, Galliformes, Phasianidae. The record is from RefSeq and is a predicted model, not a curated record.